GGAAUAUUGGUCAAUGGGCGUGAGCCCGAACCAGCCAAGUAGCGUGCAGGAUGACGGCCCUAUGGGUUGUAAACUGCUUUUAUGCGGGGAUAAAGUCAGUUACGUGUAACUGUUUGCAGGUACCGCAUGAAUAAGGACCGGCUAAUUCCGUGCCAGCAGCCGCGGUAAUACGGAAGGUCCGGGCGUUAUCCGGAUUUAUUGGGUUUAAAGGGAGCGCAGGCCGGAGGUCAAGCGUGACGUGAAAUGUAGCCGCUCAACGGCUGAGUUGCGUCGCGAACUGGCUUUCUUGAGUGAGUUCGACGUGGGCGGAAUUCGUGGUGUAGCGGUGAAAUGCUUAGAUAUCACGAAGAACCCCGAUUGCGAAGGCAGCCCACGAGGCCUUUACUGACGCUAAAGCUCGAAGGUGCGGGUAUCGAACA
Molecule: ribosomal RNA, 419 nt
Filed under: uncultured Prevotella sp.
Lineage: Bacteria; Pseudomonadati; Bacteroidota; Bacteroidia; Bacteroidales; Prevotellaceae
Description: bacterial SSU rRNA
Rfam family: Bacterial small subunit ribosomal RNA
Source: RNAcentral